This 329-nucleotide ribosomal RNA is filed under the name uncultured eukaryote. RNAcentral describes it as "partial 18S ribosomal RNA". It matches the Rfam family "Eukaryotic small subunit ribosomal RNA", at positions 1470 to 1796 of the family's 1831-position model. The record is from RNAcentral.
CCCUUAGAUGUCCUGGGCCGCACGCGUGCUACACUGACGCAUACAGCGAGCACUUUCCAGUUCCGAGAGGCUACUGGUAAUCAUCAAUAUGCGUCGUGAUGGGGAUAGAUCUUUGGAAUUCUGGAUCUUGAACGAGGAAUGCCUAGUAAUCGCAGGUCAUUAGCCUGCGAUGAUUAAGUCCCUGCCCUUUGUACACACCGCCCGUCGCUACUACCGAUUGAAUGAUUUAGUGAGGACUUCGGACUGGGACCGAUGCGGCUUUCGGGCUGCGUCGGUAUUCUGGAAAGAUGUCCAAACUGUAUCAUUUAGAGGAAGUAAAAGUCGUAACA